CAUCCUAUUCCAAGCCUCUUUCUCUCUUCCGGCGAACGCAGACGUAGAAACGAAGGUCUUCACCUCUUAUCGUGGCGGCUUCUCCACACUCUAAAACUUGCUUUCUUCCUCUAAAAGUCCUUCAGGUUAUUUAUCUUCUUCUUUGAUGGAUUUAUCUGUGCACACGCUUUAUUUGCAUCGGUGGACUUUCUCUUGGUUGAUCUUAUGCCGCGUCCAUGUCAUUUACUCCUUCAUAUACUUAUUGAUGCGUCCUUUUAUCAACGUUGACCCUUGCGUGGUCUGUUUUGGUACUUGCGGUGAUAUUGACAACAUUUUAGGUAUUUUUAAGAACUAUUGUUGGCCCUGGAUGUAUGAAUUUGCAAUCGCAAUAUUAAUGUCUGUUGUUUAUGGUUUAUUAUCUAUGUUCGCACAAAUUUUUGUUAUACUAUUGAUAGAUAUCACUGAUGUAAAGAGCUGAGAAAAAUUCCCUUUUG
Morus notabilis is the source of this 473-nucleotide long non-coding RNA. RefSeq lists it as uncharacterized. The transcript has 3 exons. The record is from RefSeq and is a predicted model, not a curated record. NCBI's taxonomy places the organism in Eukaryota, Viridiplantae, Streptophyta, Magnoliopsida, Rosales, Moraceae.